AAGAGCCACCGCUCAGGAAGACGCGCCACAGCUCUUUAGGAAGUUGGGUCGCAGUUGAUGUGAAGCCAUGUCCCCGCUUUACCUUAGAUGGGUUUUAUCAGAUUCUACUUUGGUUUAUAGACCUGUCUGACGAAUCCAUAUUCUGUGACAUAUUUUCCAUUUUUCUGUAGAAUCUUCAUUUGCUUACGAGCCAGCCGUCAGGAGUUUCCACCAAGUUCUGUCCUCAGUCCUCUGGUAUGAGAGUCACAGAUCAGCUGUCUGCCGACCAAAACCAGAAGGGUAUCAGCUCAGCGGCUCCUUCAAGGUGUUCAGUUCCACAGUGUGACCAACAGGCCUCGGUUCUACAGAAAAUGGAGCGUAAAAGGAAACACCUCCCAAAGGAAAACAUAACCAACGAAAACAACAGAGAAAGCACGAAUCUUACAGGAAACCAUGUCUCAUGUAACAAUUCAUCAGCAAAAACAAGUAAACUUGUGAUAUUGGAAGAAGGUGCUGGUGAGGUCGAAACCUACCUCAAUUCCAGGCACCGAAAGGCAUUCACAACUGAUUUCUGCGACAUCAGACACUUGGAUGCUUUGGAGCAAAGCCGGCUGACCGAGAUGCUCAAGCAGGCAGCCACCGUGGUGGUGACUCUGCUGUAUGAGGACGGCUCCACCCAGCUGAGAGCUGGCCAGGCUCUGGUUUCCUCUGUUAAAGGCAUUGUGAUGUUACUGAGGAGCCAUCCAGAGGAAGGCAGCAGUCCUCUGACCUCCCCAGCCUCCGACAAUGUUCUGGAGGACACGCCCAGUGAUCAGUGUAUCUACAUAAAAACUGAGCACUCCCCUAUCUGGGGCCAAGAGCAAGAGGCACAUCAUCAAUUUGCCAAGUAA
Molecule: long non-coding RNA, 869 nt
Filed under: Capra hircus (goat)
Lineage: Eukaryota; Metazoa; Chordata; Mammalia; Artiodactyla; Bovidae
Description: lncRNA (ENSCHIG00000007571.1)
Source: RNAcentral